UGGGGAAUCUUGCGCAAUGGGCGAAAGCCUGACGCAGCCAUGCCGCGUGAAUGAUGAAGGUCUUAGGAUUGUAAAAUUCUUUCACCGGGGACGAUAAUGACGGUACCCGGAGAAGAAGCCCCGGCUAACUUCGUGCCAGCAGCCGCGGUAAUACGAAGGGGGCUAGCGUUGCUCGGAAUUACUGGGCGUAAAGGGCGCGUAGGCGGAUCGUUAAGUCAGAGGUGAAAUCCCAGGGCUCAACCCUGGAACUGCCUUUGAUACUGGCGAUCUUGAGUAUGAGGGAGGUAUGUGGAACUCCGAGUGUAGAGGUGAAAUUCGUAGAUAUUCGGAAGAACACCAGUGGCGAAGGCGACAUACUGGCUCAUUACUGACGCUGAGGCGCGAAAGCGUGGGGAGCAAACAGG
Molecule: ribosomal RNA, 404 nt
Filed under: Acidobacteriota bacterium
Lineage: Bacteria; Pseudomonadati; Acidobacteriota
Description: Acidobacteria bacterium partial 16S ribosomal RNA
Rfam family: Bacterial small subunit ribosomal RNA
Source: RNAcentral